This 253-nucleotide ribosomal RNA is filed under the name uncultured bacterium. RNAcentral describes it as "partial 16S ribosomal RNA". It matches the Rfam family "Bacterial small subunit ribosomal RNA", at positions 524 to 776 of the family's 1533-position model. The record is from RNAcentral.
UACGUAGGUGGCAAGCGUUAUCCGGAAUUACUGGGCGUAAAGCGCACGCAGGCGGUCUUUUAAGUUUGACGGGAAAGCUCCCGGCUUAACUGGGAGAGGUCGUUGAAGACUGGAAGACUUGAGGCAAUGAGAGGGGUGUAGAAUUCCCGGUGUAGUGGUGGAAUGCGUAGAUAUCGGGGGGAAUACCAGUGGCGAAAGCGGCACCCUAGCGUUAGCCUGACGCUCAUGUGCGAAAGCGUGGGGAGCGAACGGG